CCUACGGGAGGCAGCAGUGGGGAAUAUUGGGCAAUGGGCGCAAGCCUGACCCAGCAACGCCGCGUGAAGGAAGAAGGCUUUCGGGUUGUAAACUUCUUUUGUCAGGGACGAAGCACGUGACGGUACCUGACGAAUCAGCCACGGCUAACUACGUGCCAGCAGCCGCGGUAAUACGUAGGUGGCAAGCGUUAUCCGGAUUUACUGGGUGUACAGGGCGUGUAGGCGGGACGGCAAGUCAGAUGUGAAAACCACGGGCUCAACCUGUGGCCUGCAUUUGAAACUGUAGUUCUUGAGUACUGGAGCGGCAGACGGAAUUCCUAGUGUAGCGGUGAAAUGCGUAGAGAUCAGGAGGAACACCAGUGGCGAAGGCGGUCUGCUGGACAGUAACUGACGUUGAGGCGCGAAAGCGUGGGGAGCAAACAGGAUUAGAUACCCGUGUAGUC
This 443-nucleotide ribosomal RNA is filed under the name uncultured bacterium. RNAcentral's name for it is "partial 16S ribosomal RNA". It matches the Rfam family "Bacterial small subunit ribosomal RNA", at positions 338 to 795 of the family's 1533-position model. The record is from RNAcentral.